GAUGAACGCUAGCUACAGGCUUAACACAUGCAAGUCGAGGGGAAACGAUGAGAGAGCUUGCUCUCUUAGGCGUCGACCGGCGCACGGGUGAGUAACGCGUAUCCAACCUACCCAUUACAGGGGGAUAACCUUGCGAAAGUAAGACUAAUACCCCAUGGCAUUUUAUGGUGGCAUCAUUAUAGGAUUAAAGAUUUAUUGGUAAUGGAUGGGGAUGCGUCUGAUUAGCUUGUUGGCGGGGUAACGGCCCACCAAGGCAACGAUCAGUAGGGGUUCUGAGAGGAAGGUCCCCCACAUUGGAACUGAGACACGGUCCAAACUCCUACGGGAGGCAGCAGUGAGGAAUAUUGGUCAAUGGUCGAGAGCUUGAACCAGCCAAGUAGCGUGCAGGAUGACGGCCCUAUGGGUUGUAAACUGCUUUCAUAGGGGAAUAAAGUGAGCUACGUGUAGUUUAUUGCAUGUACCCUAUGAAUAAGGACCGGCUAAUUCCGUG
RNAcentral lists this ribosomal RNA (490 nucleotides) under uncultured bacterium. RNAcentral's name for it is "partial 16S ribosomal RNA". It matches the Rfam family "Bacterial small subunit ribosomal RNA", at positions 28 to 507 of the family's 1533-position model. The record is from RNAcentral.